This 72-nucleotide transfer RNA is filed under the name Myotis davidii. It matches the Rfam family "tRNA". Rfam says of the family: Transfer RNA (tRNA) molecules are approximately 80 nucleotides in length. Their secondary structure includes four short double-helical elements and three loops (D, anti-codon, and T loops). The record is from Rfam by way of RNAcentral. Lineage: Eukaryota; Metazoa; Chordata; Mammalia; Chiroptera; Vespertilionidae.
GCCAGCAUGGCUCAGUGGUUGAGCAUCGACUUAUGAACCAGAAGGUCAUGGGUUCGAAUCCCAGUCCAGGCA